UCGAGUUUAUAAUCUAAAAUAUGUAUAUCAGAGUUUUGUUUUAAAAUUGAAAGUUUUCUUACGAUUCCAUGAUAUUUGAUAGACUGUAUAAAAACAACAGGAUAUGGCAUAUAACUUCUUGGGAUUUCUCAAAUAUUUUUGACUGGUCUCAUCAUGUGUCCACAUUGUUCAUUUAGGGGCUGAUAUAUAGAGGCGAAUUUAGAGAAAUGCAAGCCCAGCAGACUUUUCACCCUUAGGAUAAUAUAUUAAAGUCUCCAAAAAGGACUAUAGCAGGCAGAAGAAAGCAUAUUCCCUAGAUGAGCAUCAAGAGUCGAGUCGAUGUAGCCUUUUCUGUCCGUCCGUCUAUUUGAAUACCUAGAGCUUGGAAACUAUUAGUUCGAAAGCCACAAAAAUUAAUUUAUAAUAUGUAGACUUGUAAAGUAUCCACGCUGAUCAAGUUUAUGGCAAUAACCUUCCUCGUCGAAAUUUCGACCAAAAUUUAAUGUAUUGCAAUCAAACUCGGCAUAUUAAUUUUAUAUUGUAAUAUCUAUAUAUAUCCCAAAUUUAAAAUCGGACCGUACACAGCCAAGUCAAUAAUAUAGCGAAGCCGUCACUCACUCGCCCACUUUUUGCUUUUUGCAAUCCUUUGCGUUUCUCAAAGUCGUUCCUCGAUUCGCUUUUAUGUAGCUCCACUUGCAUAUGCUUGGAAACAAGUCAAAUUAAAUUUAUCAGAUGUGGCAUUCUCUUACAUUAAACUUGUAAUAGGAAUUUUGAAAAAAAAUUUGACAACGAUGGCUAUGAAAAUCAAGAUGUAGACAAUUUUAUACAAAAGCUACAUACAUAUAGCUAUUUCAAUUGUGGCCGGAUCCAGUCCCGGGGGUCUGUACACCCCCAGAAUUUCAAUAUUUCGCAAAAUUUUUGAUAUUUUUUUUAUCUUUUUGUAAAAUAGUAAGUUUUCGAAAUGGUCGUGCAAUUUCGAUAAAUCCUUAUACUGAAAAUGUCUUUAUCAAAAUCAAGUAAAUGCCUCCCUCAAAAAUUCUCGAAUUCUUCAAGCCAAAAGUCUCAGAUUUUUGAUCGGUCCAAAUCCGAUUUCGAAAUUUUAUUACAAAUCGAAAUCGAUACUUGACCUACAAAUGCCAGCCUUUUGGCUCAAAGUGUUUAUGUUAUGAUACACACAGACAGAUAGAGUGCCAAUCAAAUAUGACUGUAUAAAAUCGUCUCAGCAUGCUGAAUGUAUAUAUUUACAUAUGUGUACAUAUACCAGCCAAAGUAGAGAACUCAAGCCCUGGCUUUAAGAAAACAUAAUAUCUUGCCAUAUAUUCCUUCAAUUGGCCAAAAGUGACACACACAAGUUCAACCAAGCCAAGGAGACACCCACGUGUAAACACACAUUCAGAAUGCAAUACUCAUUGAUGUAUUUAUAAGUCAGAGAACCUAACUUCGAUCCAUGCCGGAAUUGGAAUACACUUUCGCAUUGAAUGAGGACUCAAGAAGAAGAUUAAUAAAGAAAAACACGCAUUAUAAGAUGAGGUUUGCUAAUUAAAUGACAAAAGACAACAAACUGAA
Long non-coding RNA from Drosophila willistoni, 1545 nucleotides. RefSeq lists it as uncharacterized. NCBI's taxonomy places the organism in Eukaryota, Metazoa, Arthropoda, Insecta, Diptera, Drosophilidae. The transcript has 3 exons. The record is from RefSeq and is a predicted model, not a curated record.